AUGAACGCUGGCGGCGUGCUUAACACAUGCCAGUCGCACGGAAAGGCUCCUGCUUGCAGGGGUACUCGAGUGGCGAACGGGUGAGUAACACGUGGGUGAUCUGCCCUGCACUUCGGGAUAAGCCUGGGAAACUGGGUCUAAUACCGGAUAGGACCAUCGUUUAGUGUCGGUGGUGGAAAGUUUUUUCGGUGUGGGAUGAGCUCGCGGCCUAUCAGCUUGUUGGUGGGGUAAUGGCCUACCAAGGCGUCGACGGGUAGCCGGCCUGAGAGGGUGUACGGCCACAUUGGGACUGAGAUACGGCCCAGACUCCUACGGGAGGCAGCAGUGGGGAAUAUUGCACAAUGGGCGCAAGCCUGAUGCAGCGACGCCGCGUGGGGGAUGACGGCCUUCGGGUUGUAAACUCCUUUCGCCAGGGACGAAGCGAAAGUGACGGUACCUGGAUAAGAAGCACCGGCUAACUACGUG
Molecule: ribosomal RNA, 465 nt
Filed under: uncultured bacterium
Lineage: Bacteria
Description: partial 16S ribosomal RNA
Rfam family: Bacterial small subunit ribosomal RNA
Source: RNAcentral